RNAcentral lists this ribosomal RNA (557 nucleotides) under uncultured fungus. RNAcentral describes it as "SSU rRNA". It matches the Rfam family "Eukaryotic small subunit ribosomal RNA", at positions 21 to 584 of the family's 1831-position model. The record is from RNAcentral. Lineage: Eukaryota; Fungi.
UGUAGUCAUAUGCUUGUCUCAAAGAUUAAGCCAUGCAUGUCUAAGUAUAAGCAAUUAUACAGCGAAACUGCGAAUGGCUCAUUAAAUCAGUUAUCGUUUAUUUGAUAGUACCUUACUACAUGGAUAACCGUGGUAAUUCUAGAGCUAAUACAUGCUGAAAAUCCCGACUUCGGAAGGGAUGUAUUUAUUAGAUUAAAAACCAAUGCCCUUCGGGGCUCCCUGGUGAUUCAUAAUAACUUCUCGAAUCGCACGGCCUUGCGCCGGCGAUGGUUCAUUCAAAUUUCUGCCCUAUCAACUUUCGACGGCAGGGUCUUGGCCUGCCAUGGUGACAACGGGUAACGGAGGGUUAGGGCUCGACCCCGGAGAAGGAGCCUGAGAAACGGCUACCACAUCCAAGGAAGGCAGCAGGCACGCAAAUUACCCACUCCCAGAACGGGGAGGUAGUGACGAAAAAUAACAAUACGGGACUCUAAUGAGGCUCCGUAAUUGGAAUGAGAACAAUCUAAAUCCUUUAACGAGGAUCUAUUGGAGGGCAAGUCUGGUGCCAGCAGCCAAUC